This 253-nucleotide ribosomal RNA is filed under the name uncultured bacterium. RNAcentral describes it as "partial 16S ribosomal RNA". It matches the Rfam family "Bacterial small subunit ribosomal RNA", at positions 524 to 776 of the family's 1533-position model. The record is from RNAcentral.
UACAGAGGGGGCAAGCGUUGUUCGGAAUUACUGGGCGUAAAGGGCGCGUAGGCGGCCUGCUAAGUCGAACGUGAAAUCCCUGGGCUCAACCCAGGAACUGCGUCCGAUACUGGUUGGCUUGAAUCCGGGAGAGGGACGUGAAAUUCCAGGUGUAGCGGUGAAAUGCGUAGAUAUCUGGAGGAACACCGGUGGCGAAGGCGACGUCCUGGACCGGUAUUGACGCUGAGGCGCGAAAGCCAGGGGAGCAAACGGG